Molecule: transfer RNA, 77 nt
Filed under: Rickettsiales bacterium
Lineage: Bacteria; Pseudomonadati; Pseudomonadota; Alphaproteobacteria; Rickettsiales
Description: tRNA-Leu
Rfam family: tRNA
About the family: Transfer RNA (tRNA) molecules are approximately 80 nucleotides in length. Their secondary structure includes four short double-helical elements and three loops (D, anti-codon, and T loops).
Source: RNAcentral
GGGGGUGUAGUCCAAUUGGUAGAGACAGCAGACUUAAAAUCUGUACAGUGUGAGUUCAAAUCUCACUACCCCUACCA